GCACACACUGAUUUAGCUCCAAGGUUUGGGGACAUUUAGGUUUCAAAAGCAUAUAAAUGUUAUUCCUGCGAGAAAAAGAAAUGUUAGUUAUAAUUCAUUAAUUGAAAAUUCAAUCACAGUGUCAUUGAUAGGCAAUGCACGGACAUGGUCCUUGUCCUGGUUAAAAUUUCUUAUUUCUCUGGAUUUGAACAUUCAUGGAAACAUCUGGGAUAAUGAGAAGCAAGCUGGGGGAAUUACUCCAGGAGAAACUACUGAAAAAUUAUUGUAAAUAUGGAUUUUAAUGAACCCUGCAGAACGAGAGAUGAAGAUACAGAGGAACAAACAGAUUCAAUGGAAGUGACUGAAGACAAACAACAUCAAUUUCAAAAGAAGAUGGGAAAUGAAGAUGGAAACACAGUCGUUUCACAGACUGAAAAGAAUUUCACCCAAAAACGAGCAGGAAAAACUGGAGUCAAAGGAUCUUUCACCUGCUCUGAGUGUGGAAGGAGUUUCACACAGAAAGGACACCUUAACAUACACAUGAGAAUUCACACAGGAGAAAAACCCUUCACAUGCACUCAGUGUGGAAAGAGUUUCAUACGUAAAGGACACCUAAAUGUGCACAUGAGAAUUCACACUGGAGAAAAACCGUUCACAUGCACUCAGUGUGGAAAGAGUUUCAAGCACAAAAGCUCUCUCAAAGAUCAUCUGCGUUCUCACUCUGGAGUGAAGUCUUUCAGCUGUGAUCAGUGUGAUAAAACAUUUGUUGGUGCAUCAAGCUUAAGACAACAUCUUAAAGUUCAUACUUGUGUGAAGCCUCACGUUUGUUCAUUUUGUGGAAAGAGUUUUUCACAACUGCAAAAUUUAAAAGUGCAUGAGAGUAUUCAUACUGGUGUGAGACCUUAUAUGUGCUUUGACUGUGGGAAGACCUUCAUUAUAUCCAAUGACUUAAAAAAACACCAGAGAAUUCAUACUGGAGAGAAACCAUACAAGUGCUCGCACUGUGAAGAGAGUUUCGCUCGGUUAGAAUUCUUGAAAACACACCAGAGAGUUCAUACUGGAGAGAAGCCGCACCAGUGCUCUUUAUGUGGGAAGAGUUUUACCCAAUUAUCUAGUCUACGGACUCAUGAGAAAAAGCAUUGCCCUUUCCUUACGAAAAAGAAGUUUAUUCAAGUGUGCUAUUAGUAUACUUCUUUUAAACUAAAAAUAGGAAAGUAUACUUUCAGUCUAUUUUUUAAAUACUUCUCAGAAAUAUACUUUAUGUACUUUUCAGAAAUAUACUUAAAAUUGCACUCAAGUAUACUUGACUUAUACUGACAGAAAAGUCUAAGUAUAUUUGGCCUAUACUUGUACUCAAUCUUUUGAUCAAGAUAUACUUAAAAGUAUAAUUAAGUAUUCCAAGUAUACUUGGCUUGUAGUUGUGUUUAAUCUUUUGAUUGAGUAGCCUAUUUAAAUAUAUUUUUUAGGUAUAUUUAAAACUUACAUUGUUUGAAAAUAUCGAUUUAUCCACCUUUUUCCUACGCCCCAUGACGCUUUGCGCGAAUUAUGGGUGUAACUUCCGUUAAGCUGUAAACAGUCAGUGAAAGGUUCGCUCUAACAGCAAUAACGGACAGGUUAAAUAUAACUGUAAUAUAUAUCUGUAUUGUUGCCUUAAUAAAAAUGUUCAUGAACUUCAGCAUUGCGUGAUACUAUUUUAAAGUGAUUUCCAUCAUUUUUACAGAUAAUAAAUUGUAUUUACCUGUGAAAGCAAACCUGGAAAGAGACUUGAGGAUUUGAGCAGAAAAACGAGAGAUUAUUUGCGCAUUCUAGUGAAUUAUUAAUGGUAUAUAUCGUAAAUUAUCAGGAGAACAGACCACAAAUGUGCAGUAUAUAUUGUCCUUUUUCAUACUAUUACAGCAGAAUGCAAAGUGACAAAAGAAAAUAAUCAUGAAGAAAAGAAUGCUGCGACUGUAAAGAGCUCUUGCCAUAGAUAUUCUUGCAAUAGAUAUACAUGUCAUAGUAUGAUACCGUGAGUAUCAUCAUG
Long non-coding RNA from Ctenopharyngodon idella (grass carp), 2002 nucleotides. RefSeq lists it as uncharacterized. NCBI's taxonomy places the organism in Eukaryota, Metazoa, Chordata, Actinopteri, Cypriniformes, Xenocyprididae. The transcript has 3 exons. The record is from RefSeq and is a predicted model, not a curated record.